This is a small nuclear RNA of Diceros bicornis minor, 103 nucleotides long. The record is from RefSeq and is a predicted model, not a curated record. Lineage: Eukaryota; Metazoa; Chordata; Mammalia; Perissodactyla; Rhinocerotidae.
UUGCUUUGGCAGCAGAUAUGCAAAAAUUGGAAUGAUACGGAGAAGCUUAGCAUAGCCCUCAGGCAAGAAUAUCAUGUAAAUUUGUGAAGUGUUCUAUAUUUUU